GACGAACGCUGGCGGCGUGCUUAACACAUGCAAGUCGAACGAUGAUGGGACUGCUUCGGUGGUUUUUGAUUAGUGGCGAACGGGUGAGUAACACGUGAGUAACCUGCCCUUCACUCUGGGAUAAGCCUUGGAAACGGGGUCUAAUACUGGAUAUUACUUGAGCCUGCAUGGGUUCGGGUGGAAAGCUUUUGUGGUGGAGGAUGGGCUCGCGGCCUAUCAGCUUGUUGGUGAGGUGAUGGCUUACCAAGGCGACGACGGGUAGCCGGCCUGAGAGGGUGACCGGCCACACUGGGACUGAGACACGGCCCAGACUCCUACGGGAGGCAGCAGUGGGGAAUAUUGCACAAUGGACGGAAGUCUGAUGCAGCGACGCCGCGUGGGGGAUGAAGGCCUUCGGGUUGUAAACCUCUUUCGUCAGGGAAGAAGCCUUUUGGGGUGACGGUACCUGGAGAAGAAGCACCGGCUAACUACGUG
Molecule: ribosomal RNA, 474 nt
Filed under: uncultured organism
Description: bacterial SSU rRNA
Rfam family: Bacterial small subunit ribosomal RNA
Source: RNAcentral